This 486-nucleotide ribosomal RNA is filed under the name uncultured bacterium. RNAcentral describes it as "partial 16S ribosomal RNA". It matches the Rfam family "Bacterial small subunit ribosomal RNA", at positions 30 to 507 of the family's 1533-position model. The record is from RNAcentral.
AUUGAACGCUGGCGGCAUGCCUUACACAUGCAAGUCGAACGGCAGCACGGGUGCUUGCACCUGGUGGCGAGUGGCGAACGGGUGAGUAAUACAUCGGAACAUGUCCUGUAGUGGGGGAUAGCCCGGCGAAAGCCGGAUUAAUACCGCAUACGAUCUACGGAUGAAAGCGGGGGACCUUCGGGCCUCGCGCUAUAGGGUUGGCCGAUGGCUGAUUAGCUAGUUGGUGGGGUAAAGGCCUACCAAGGCGACGAUCAGUAGCUGGUCUGAGAGGACGACCAGCCACACUGGGACUGAGACACGGCCCAGACUCCUACGGGAGGCAGCAGUGGGGAAUUUUGGACAAUGGGCGAAAGCCUGAUCCAGCAAUGCCGCGUGUGUGAAGAAGGCCUUCGGGUUGUAAAGCACUUUUGUCCGGAAAGAAAUCCUUGGCUCUAGUACAGUCGGGGGAUGACGGUACCGGAAGAAUAAGCACCGGCUAACUACGUG